RNAcentral lists this unclassified non-coding RNA (563 nucleotides) under Hevea brasiliensis (rubber tree). Lineage: Eukaryota; Viridiplantae; Streptophyta; Magnoliopsida; Malpighiales; Euphorbiaceae. The record is from RNAcentral.
AAAAGGUCAUGGCUUUGAUGGAGAAAAAAAUCAUGGUCUUGCAAUUCUAAUUGAUCAGAAGAAAGAAAAGAAGAAGGCAAGUGGAAGAAAGAAAAAGGAAAUUCAUCAUGUUUAGAAUUGAGAGUGAUGUCAUUGAAAAAGGGCCUGUUGUGACCUUCUUGUUGGUCACUAUAGCAGAUGGGGUCAUUGCCAUUGUUGCUUGACGGAAACAUAUUCAAGAAUUGUGAAGUUUCUUUACAAUGGGCAAUAGACAACAAGACCUAACUGUCUCUGUUAGAUAGAAUUAAGCUGGCAGCUGGAGUGGAGAGUAGUAGUAUUACACUGGAGCUUGUGAAUGACCCAUAUACGUAUAUACACACCACCGGAAUAAGAUAGAAUUAUUAUAUUAGCUACUUAGCUUUAGCUAGGACAUUAAUCUCGCUAUAGCUCUAGCAAAUCCCAUAUCUUUUUCAAUUUCAUCAACCUCUUUCUCUUGAUCUUCCCUCUCCCGCAGAGCCAAAGGACUAGAGCAUGAGAAAGACAGCAGAGCACAAGUACCGUAUGUCCAUGGGGGCUGCAAAGAC